Non-coding RNA from Cyanistes caeruleus (blue tit), 765 nucleotides. The record is from RefSeq and is a predicted model, not a curated record. NCBI's taxonomy places the organism in Eukaryota, Metazoa, Chordata, Aves, Passeriformes, Paridae.
UUGGCAAAGCAGCACAGGUUUCUGACAAACAGCUUCCCUGUUUGCAGGGAGUGCAAAGUUGAACUGAUAAGCCAAGUUCUUGGAGGGAUUAUGCAAUAUUCAGAUUAGAGGGCAUGUAGCUAAUGGUCUGGAAAUGAUCAGAGCCUUGUAUCCUCUGAAUGGUGGCAUCAGAGCUGUAUCUGUUCACCUGCAUUCCCAAAGGAUGCUGAUCUCAUACUGGUUUCCCAGAACCGAUGUCUGUGAUGAUGGACUGGUUUGCAUGGUGGUGACUUUGGGAGUCAUAGUGUGACUGUGGGUGCCCUCAUUAGAAAGGGAAUCUUUGAAAGGUGUGUUUCACUGUAUACUAUGUUAAAAGGAUGGGUUUUUUUUCCCCCUGAUACCUGAAAAACAUUUCAUUUGGCCAGUGGAUUUGAAUGGGGACAACCUAACUGUUCUCCUAUGGAGCAGCACUGUUCUUCACAGUGUGUUAACACUGGCAAACAGUGAGCUGUGGCAGUGAUCAGAAAAGCAGGUCUGUAUGCACAGAGAUGUUCUGCACAGUGGCUGGGUCCAGACCACGCAUUCACUGAGAAGCAGGAAGGACACUGUGCAAAGAUAGGAAGAGACCAGAAAGGACACUUGAGCAGAGACCAUCACAUGCUGCAUCUGCUCUUGCUCUUCCCUGGACUGUCUGAGCUUCAGCUGAAGAUGAGAGGUAGAACUGCUGCUGAUCUGACAUCUUCUAAUACGAGCUGAAAAACUGAUUAAAGGAUUUGACUCUGUUCA